RNAcentral lists this long non-coding RNA (1155 nucleotides) under Anser brachyrhynchus (Pink-footed goose). RNAcentral's name for it is "lncRNA (ENSABRG00000009531.1)". Lineage: Eukaryota; Metazoa; Chordata; Aves; Anseriformes; Anatidae. The record is from RNAcentral.
CAACUAAGGAGCAUUUUUCUUGGUGCUUAGGCUUGCAGUGUCUGGGCUCAGCCUCAUCAGCCUCUCAGGUGGUGCUCAUCUCCUGGAGGGCUGGGGUUGUGCCACUGCUCCCGGCUCCAUCCCUGCUCGCCUGGUGCUGAGGGCACCACAAAUAUUUCACCUUCCUCAGCAGAAGCAGCUCAGGCCUUGCACUAGGGCAGAAAAAAAUACAGUACACAAAUAGAAAAAUGAAAAAGGUAAAAGAUGAAGUGAUAAAAAAGGAGACCAAGUCUUCCGCUGAGGCCCUAGUCAGCAUUUGGUCAGUGAAGAUGUGGUGCAAGGACGAGAAAUUUCAUUUUCUGAUUUCUGUUAACAGCUUACAAGGGACAAUGUUUGUUUCUGUUUCUGCUGGGACAGGCGUUGAAGCUGGAUGUUGCCCGCUCUAGCCUUGCAUUCAGACUUGGCACACCGUGGGUGCCCGGGUGCUGAGCUCCUGGCCGCCCUCCCCACGCGCGAGGUCUCGGUGCGCCUCCCCUGCCGCAGCGCUGCAGGCAACAGCCACAAAUGGCUCGUGUCGCACGGCAUUUCGGGCAGAAUGUACUGCUCUUCAGUGUCUUUUAUUUCCGAGUGUUAAUAGUUCAUCUCCCUCAAGUCAGCAAAAUACUGAUCAUAAUUGCAGUUUUGGACUUCAGUGCAUUGUGUGCAGGUUGUACACGUGGAGAUGCUUUGUCUGUGAAUCCCUUGAACUCCCAGGGGCAGCAGAGGCUUUCCGUGUCUCAGGGAUGCUCUGGAACUGCAUCAGCUCUUCUGGAGGAACGGGCUCCCUGGAGCAGACUGCUGCCAAGAACAGCAGUUCUCUGCUGUACGCUUUGCACCGAAAAUGUCCACCCGCCUCACACCAGUGCAUUGAAAUGCAGCGCAACAAGGCAGCAGGUUCCCAGAAGGACUCAGUGCAAACAGCCCGGCAGUUCAAAGCCAAAGACGACAUCAGCCUGCUUUCUGCAGAGGCAUCGGGAUGAAGUACCAGCAGGUGACCACAGCGUAGUGCAGUCAGAUCAGCAGACGUUUCUCCUGAAUGAAGGAAUGCCAAUUAAAAAUCCACCCAAAGGAGUGAGGACCUGGCAGCCCUGUUCUGCAGGACCAGAGCACACAAAAACCUCACUCAUUUUCCGGUGA